CCCUAACCAAAUGACUGGAUAAUCCACACCACUUCUCUACCAUAGAAUUACCAUCAACUAAGUCACAGAAGCUGCUCUACAUGUAAACUAGCUUUCCCAAUUGAACUGCCAGAAGCCACCAAUUGAGGUAAUUCCUUUCAAAAACGGCAAGAUAAUGAAGAAUGAUUCCAAAUUGAUUGUGCUGAACUAACCCUUUACGCCCAAAUAAACCCAAUAAGCAUAGUUGCUUCCUUACGUACAUAAUAAGGGAUCUCAAAAUAUGAUUUCGCCUAGAUGAAGCAUUUUGUGUUAAGGCAGGAAGACUGUCAAGCAGAUGAACGUACUAGUAAUAUCUUCUUCUUUAACAUAGAUUCAUUGCUUACAGCUGGUCGUAUAAACAGGCGAACUUCUUCACAAAAAAAUGGCAUGAUCCAAAGCUACCCGAAAUCCAUAUGGGCUACAUGCUUGCAUAUCCUCUCCUACGACAGAACUAUCAUGUUAAACCACUAGUUGGCGGAAAGCAUCGAAGCAUGGAAAGGUGGCUCCAUGCUAACAAACCAAAUGCUCAGGUUAACACAAUCCCCAAGUCUUUGCGCUAAGCCGCUAACCCUAGAACUGGAGGCUAACUCUCAAUCUAUGAAAUAUAAGCAGCAAACAUAUCACCCGAAGCAUGGAGUUCAGUCCUGCAGAAAGUAGAACCGAAACCCAGCCCAAAAGCAGCAACAAUCCCCCAGCUAAGCCAACCAAUCCAGAUCUACCCGCAACAUCCGCCACAAUCCGAUCGCUCAAUCGCAUACAAGGGAACGAACAAGAGAACAAGCUCUCAAUAAACUCACCGGAGAUGUUGCCGCUCCCGCCGGCACCGAGCGCCGCGGCGGAGGCCGGCGAGACGGAGGCCCGAGGGGAGGAGCGGCGGCCGCGGUGAGAGGUGAUGCCAUGG
RNAcentral lists this long non-coding RNA (919 nucleotides) under Brachypodium distachyon (stiff brome). Its description in RNAcentral is "long non-coding RNA (BDIS_LNC003846)". Lineage: Eukaryota; Viridiplantae; Streptophyta; Magnoliopsida; Poales; Poaceae. The record is from RNAcentral.